This 203-nucleotide long non-coding RNA is filed under the name Mytilus galloprovincialis (Mediterranean mussel). Lineage: Eukaryota; Metazoa; Mollusca; Bivalvia; Mytilida; Mytilidae. The record is from RNAcentral.
GUCACAUUCAUGAAAGGGAAGGGGAUUGUAGUUACGACGUAAGGAACAUAUCCGAUAUCAUUUGUGAAACGGUUAUUCCAUAACGGUCAACCAACUCAUGAUGGCGUCCGUAAAAUUUACGAAGGGAUGAUUUCAACUUCACCAUUUGGAACUCUUGGUUUAAUAGCUUCCUUGUGAGCAGCAACCCUCUAUCAAGAAAAUCG